Molecule: ribosomal RNA, 465 nt
Filed under: uncultured bacterium
Lineage: Bacteria
Description: partial 16S ribosomal RNA
Rfam family: Bacterial small subunit ribosomal RNA
Source: RNAcentral
GACGAACGCUGGCGGCGUGCUUAACACAUGCAAAUCGAACGGAAAGGCCCCUUUGGGGGUACUCGAGUGGCGAACGGGUGAGUAACACGUGAGUAACCUGCCCUUGACUUCGGGAUAACUUCAGGAAACUGGGGCUAAUACCGGAUAGGAAUCCUUGCUGCAUGGUGGGGGUUGGAAAGCUUCGGCGGUUUUGGAUGGACUCGCGGCUUAUCAGCUUGUUGGUGGGGUAGUGGCUUACCAAGGCUUUGACGGGUAGCCGGCCUGAGGGGGCGACCGGCCACAUUGGGACUGAGAUACGGCCCAGGCUCCUACGGGAGGCAGCAGUGGGGAAGAUUGAACAAGGGGCGGAAGCCUGAUGCAGCAACGCCGCGUGCGGGAUGACGGCCUUCGGGUUGUAAACCGCUUUCAGCAGGGGCGAAGCUUGUGGUGACGGUACCUGCAGAAGAAGCACCGGCUAACUACGUG